This 66-nucleotide transfer RNA is filed under the name human gut metagenome. It matches the Rfam family "tRNA". Rfam says of the family: Transfer RNA (tRNA) molecules are approximately 80 nucleotides in length. Their secondary structure includes four short double-helical elements and three loops (D, anti-codon, and T loops). Further hydrogen bonds mediate the characteristic L-shaped molecular structure. tRNAs have two regions of fundamental functional importance: the anti-codon, which is responsible for specific mRNA codon recognition, and the 3' end, to which the tRNAs corresponding amino acid is attached (by aminoacyl-tRNA synthetases). tRNAs cope with the degeneracy of the genetic code in two manners: having more than one tRNA (with a specific anti-codon) for a particular amino acid; and 'wobble' base-pairing, i.e. permitting non-standard base-pairing at the 3rd anti-codon position. The record is from RNAcentral. RNAcentral also lists the same sequence under 1 other name.
UCUGUAGCUCAGUAGGUAGAGCAGAGGACUGAAAAUCCUCGUGUCGUUGGUUCGAUUCCGACCGGA